ACACUGUUCAUGGGUUACCGCGGCUGCUGGCACGGAGUUAGCCGGUGCUUCUUCUGUGAGUGAUGUCCUUCCUGCCGGUUAUUGACCCGCAGGCCUUCUUCCUCACUGAAAGUGCUUUACAACCCGAAGGCCUUCUUCACACACGCGGCAUGGCUGGAUCAGGGUUGCCCCCAUUGUCCAAUAUUCCCCACUGCUGCCUCCCGUAGGAGUCUGGGCCGUGUCUCAGUCCCAGUGUGGCUGAUCAUCCUCUCAGACCAGCUACGGAUCGUCGCCUUGGUGAGCCGUUACCUCACCAACCAGCUAAUCCGACAUAGGCUCAUCCGAUAGCGCGAGGCCCGAAGGUCCCCCGCUUUCCCCCGUAGGGCGUAUGCGGUAUUAGCCUGGGUUUCCCCAGGUUAUCCCCACUACCGGGCAGAUUCCUAUGCAUUACUCACCCGUCCGCCGCUCGCCACCAGGGAGCAAGCUCCCCGUGCUGCCGCUCGACUUGCAUGUGUUAGG
Molecule: ribosomal RNA, 498 nt
Filed under: uncultured bacterium
Lineage: Bacteria
Description: partial 16S ribosomal RNA
Source: RNAcentral